RNAcentral lists this long non-coding RNA (277 nucleotides) under Vigna radiata. Its description in RNAcentral is "long non-coding RNA (VRAD_LNC011426)". Lineage: Eukaryota; Viridiplantae; Streptophyta; Magnoliopsida; Fabales; Fabaceae. The record is from RNAcentral.
UUAUUUGUAUUCUUAGUGUUAUUUCAUUCAAGUUAUGUCUUCAUGGUGAUUUCAUUUGGGAUCUAUUGAAAUUUCAUUUAAAAGUGGUGAAGGUCUCACUACAAGUGGGUCACUUGAAUUUUCUGUUCUCUUUAUUAUUUUUUUUAGUUCAAUUUCCCUUUCUGAAUCAAAUGAAAGCUUAAUAAGUUCAUUUUAGUCAAACAGAGUUGCUGUGACAAUUUACAUUGUACUAGAACAACUUGUGUGCAUUUUCAAUAGUCAAACCACACAUUUUGAG